CCCUAUGGUCUCGUCCGCUGGCUCCUGCUUCGGCGCCUGGUGUCCCGUGGGUAUUACCGUCGGGCGGUUUGUCGUCGGGGCUUGGGGGGCUCCGUUCGCGGGCUUCAUUUUGCUGAGGACCUUUGCUAGGUUUAGGCAUUCGGCCGUCGUGUGGCCGUUAUCCUCGUGAUAUUCGCAAAACCGACGGGUGUCCCUGAACGCCGCCGUGUCCUUUCUCAUUGG
This 222-nucleotide long non-coding RNA is filed under the name Zostera marina. RNAcentral describes it as "long non-coding RNA (ZMAR_LNC005901)". Lineage: Eukaryota; Viridiplantae; Streptophyta; Magnoliopsida; Alismatales; Zosteraceae. The record is from RNAcentral.